Coregonus clupeaformis (lake whitefish) is the source of this 136-nucleotide small nucleolar RNA. RefSeq annotates it as small nucleolar RNA SNORD10. NCBI's taxonomy places the organism in Eukaryota, Metazoa, Chordata, Actinopteri, Salmoniformes, Salmonidae. The transcript has a single exon. The record is from RefSeq and is a predicted model, not a curated record.
GUUUUAUGAUGAAACUCAUGCGUGUCAACUGAUCCCAGAAACCCUUGGGGCUCCCGGUGGCCGGUUGGCGUUCUGUCAGCCGGUUGUUAGUGGCCUCAAGGCUCUGGGGGCAUGAUCUGACUGUACAGCUGAAAAC